GAUGAAGAACGCAGCGAAAUGCGAUAAGUAAUGUGAAUUGCAGAAUUCAGUGAAUCAUCGAGUCUUUGAACGCACAUUGCGCCCCCUGGUAUUCCGGGGGGCAUGCCUGUCCGAGCGUCAUUGCCGCCCUCAAGCACGGCUUGUGUGUUGGGCCCCCGCCCCCCGGCUUCGGGGGGCGGGCCCGAAAGGCAGCGGCGGCACCGCGUCCGGUCCUCGAGCGUAUGGGGCUUCGUCACCCGCUCUGUAGGCCCGGCCGGCGCCCGCCGGCGACCCCAAUCAAUCUUUCCAGGUUGACCUCGGAUCAGGUAGGGAUACCCGCUGAACUUAAGCAUAUCAUAACGGAGGA
RNAcentral lists this unclassified non-coding RNA (346 nucleotides) under soil metagenome. RNAcentral's name for it is "partial contains 5.8S ribosomal RNA, internal transcribed spacer 2, and large subunit ribosomal RNA". The stretch from base 1 to 120 matches the Rfam family "5.8S ribosomal RNA", at positions 35 to 154 of the family's 154-position model. The record is from RNAcentral.